This 725-nucleotide ribosomal RNA is filed under the name Escherichia coli. Its description in RNAcentral is "partial 23S ribosomal RNA". It matches the Rfam family "Bacterial large subunit ribosomal RNA", at positions 139 to 905 of the family's 2925-position model. Lineage: Bacteria; Pseudomonadati; Pseudomonadota; Gammaproteobacteria; Enterobacterales; Enterobacteriaceae. The record is from RNAcentral.
UUCGACACACUAUCAUUAACUGAAUCCAUAGGUUAAUGAGGCGAACCGGGGGAACUGAAACAUCUAAGUACCCCGAGGAAAAGAAAUCAACCGAGAUUCCCCCAGUAGCGGCGAGCGAACGGGGAGCAGCCCAGAGCCUGAAUCAGUAUGUGUGUUAGUGGAAGCGUCUGGAAAGGCGCGCGAUACAGGGUGACAGCCCCGUACACAAAAAUGCACAUGCUGUGAGCUCGAUGAGUAGGGCGGGACACGUGGUAUCCUGUCUGAAUAUGGGGGGACCAUCCUCCAAGGCUAAAUACUCCUGACUGACCGAUAGUGAACCAGUACCGUGAGGGAAAGGCGAAAAGAACCCCGGCGAGGGGAGUGAAAAAGAACCUGAAACCGUGUACGUACAAGCAGUGGGAGCACGCUUAGGCGUGUGACUGCGUACCUUUUGUAUAAUGGGUCAGCGACUUAUAUUCUGUAGCAAGGUUAACCGAAUAGGGGAGCCGAAGGGAAACCGAGUCUUAACUGGGCGUUAAGUUGCAGGGUAUAGACCCGAAACCCGGUGAUCUAGCCAUGGGCAGGUUGAAGGUUGGGUAACACUAACUGGAGGACCGAACCGACUAAUGUUGAAAAAUUAGCGGAUGACUUGUGGCUGGGGGUGAAAGGCCAAUCAAACCGGGAGAUAGCUGGUUCUCCCCGAAAGCUAUUUAGGUAGCGCCUCGUGAAUUCAUCUCCGGGGGUAG